AUUGAACGCUGGCGGCAUGCCUAACACAUGCAAGUCGAACGGCAGCAUGGUCCAGCUUGCUGGACUGAUGGCGAGUGGCGAACGGGUGAGUAAUACGUAGGAAUAUGCCUUAAAGAGGGG
Molecule: ribosomal RNA, 120 nt
Filed under: uncultured bacterium
Lineage: Bacteria
Description: partial 16S ribosomal RNA
Rfam family: Bacterial small subunit ribosomal RNA
Source: RNAcentral